This 119-nucleotide ribosomal RNA is filed under the name Triticum aestivum (bread wheat). Lineage: Eukaryota; Viridiplantae; Streptophyta; Magnoliopsida; Poales; Poaceae. The record is from RNAcentral. RNAcentral also lists the same sequence under 3 other names.
GGAUGCGAUCAUACCAGCACUAAAGCACCGGAUUCCAUCAGAACUCCGAAGUUAAGCGUGCUUGGGCGAGAGUAGUACUAGGAUGGGUGACCUCCUGGGAAGUCCUCGUGUUGCAUUCC